Molecule: ribosomal RNA, 754 nt
Filed under: uncultured bacterium
Lineage: Bacteria
Description: partial 16S ribosomal RNA
Rfam family: Bacterial small subunit ribosomal RNA
Source: RNAcentral
GGCGGCCGCGGGAAUUCGAUUAGAGUUUGAUCAUGGCUCAGAUUGAACGCUGGCGGCAUGCCUUACACAUGCAAGUCGAACGGCAGCACGGGAGCAAUCCUGGUGGCGAGUGGCGAACGGGUGAGUAAUACAUCGGAACGUGUCCUGUAGUGGGGGAUAGCCCGGCGAAAGCCGGAUUAAUACCGUAUACGCUCUACGGAGGAAAGGGGGGGAUCUUCGGACCUCCCGCUACAGGGGCGGCCGAUGGCAGAUUAGCUAGUUGGUGGGGUAAAGGCCUACCAAGGCGACGAUCUGUAGCUGGUCUGAGAGGACGACCAGCCACACUGGGACUGAGACACGGCCCAGACUCCUACGGGAGGCAGCAGUGGGGAAUUUUGGACAAUGGGGGAAACCCUGAUCCAGCAAUGCCGCGUGUGUGAAGAGGGCCUUCGGGUUGUAAAGCACUUUUGUCCGGAAAGAAAACCUCGGCCCUAAUACGGUGGGGGGAUGACGGUACCGGAAGAAUAAGCACCGGCUAACUACGUGCCAGCAGCCGCGGUAAUACGUAGGGUGCAAGCGUUAAUCGGAAUUACUGGGCGUAAAGCGUGCGCAGGCGGUCCGCUAAGACAGAUGUGAAAUCCCCGGGCUUAACCUGGGAACUGCAUUUGUGACUGGCGGGCUAGAGUAUGGCAGAGGGGGGUAGAAUUCCACGUGUAGCAGUGAAAUGCGUAGAGAUGUGGAGGAAUACCGAUGGCGGAGGCAGCCCCCUGGGCCA